Molecule: non-coding RNA, 6190 nt
Organism: Pelobates cultripes (western spadefoot toad)
Lineage: Eukaryota; Metazoa; Chordata; Amphibia; Anura; Pelobatidae
Source: the annotation of a GenBank genome assembly
CUCUACUCAUUGUUGCACCCCUAUUUUCCUUUUCUCCAUUUUUUCCCUUCAUUUAAUAUAUUUAACAGAUAUGUAUCUGUGAGGUGUGAAAAAUAAAAUUAAACAUAGAAAUCCACUCUUUUUCUAGGAAUUGACUCACUAUUAUAAGCUGUGCUCACCAAAUUUUAACUUCUCAUUUUUUUAAGUUUAUUACAUUUAAUGAAACUAACAUUGUGCCAGUCAUGACAAAUAUAUCUUAAUCUUAAAUUAUAAAGAAUUUAAUUUUAUCUCUACAUGGUGUUGACAGAAUUGCUAAAAAAUGUCUAAAUACCUCAAAAAAUCAGAGGUAAAAUCAGAAGUAAAAAAGUCCUUUCCCCCUCAGUCUGUUCAGUCUGUGCAGAAACUGUGUCAAUCAAAACAGAGAUAAGAAGGCUGUACACUGCAUAUCUGUUAUCAGGGAAACUCUCUUUGGGUGUCUCUCUUACUUUAAUUUAGUCUAAGGGAAAGCAACACCUGAAAGAGGAGGUAAGGAGAAGGGGCAGGCUCAGAGUGAGAAAUGCACCAGCAGCAGUGGAGAGAAAUAGCCAGAAAGAUUAAUGCAGCAGCUUUGGACUGGCAAUAUGAGAAUGGAGAGAUAGAACAGGUAAGUUUGCAAAGCCAACAUGAAGUGUAGGGGACCUUUAACCUGUUACGGGAAGCAAGUCUGUGCUUUUCAAACUGGGGUAUGUAGGAGAGGUAUAUCUUACUGCAAGUGUAACAUCCACUGAAAACAUGAUUGAUGCUCUCACCAGGAGACAGUGGAAAUUGAAAUAAAUUAAAAUAUAAGCAUAUCUGGCCAACUGCUGUUUAACCUAAAUUUGCCUGCAGCUGUGAUUAAUCUUUGAGAACUUUCAGCAGCAGGCAAGUUAAGUAAGAGGUAUAACCUUUCUCAAAUGGUCUGACUACUUAAAAUGGGGGCACCAAGGGCAUUCCUGGUACCAUAACCACUAAAAUACACUGUGGUGGUUAUGGUGCUUGGAGUGUUCCUUUAAUUAUAGGUCUAGAGAUUCUGAAAUGUAAUUUUCUGCAGGAGGUAGAAAUGUUUCUGUAACGUAUAUAUAGUUCAGAGUCUAUGUUUGGUAUUUUAUACAAUAGACUAAAAAUAAGAAUCAAUAUAAUAUAUAAACUGGAGGAAUACAUUACAUUUUCCUUGGUUGGAUUCUGCAAUUAUAUUCAGAAUGGAUAUAUCUGAUGCAGAAAUGAAUGUUAUUUAAACUAAUGGUCAGUAAUUCAAUAUACACACAUUAUACAGAAAAUACUGAGGUCUAAUGCUCUCAGCAUGUGCUAUAAUAAGGCUGCAAGAAAAUUGCCAUUAUUGAUGACGAGAAGCAAAAAGGUGACUCAAAAAAAGACUAGAUGCUUGCAGGAGCUAGAGACAGGGCAAGAAGAACAUGUGGUGUCCAUUUUCUCCAGAACAACGUAACAUGUUUUUUUCCUCUUGAUUCCAUGAUAAAAUGUCAAGGUAGCGUGGCCAGCGUAAAACUGGCUCAUAUCACCGUAGAAUCACGCUCUUUUUCACUGACAGUAUUCUCACAAGCGAUUGGUGUACAGACUUGCACAAGGCACACUAUUUGUGCUGCAGCUAAAUAGUGAUUAUGGCAAAAUAAGUGGUUGUCAACUAGUAAUAACUGUUUUUUUAUGUUGAUUACAUAAUAAAGCAAGUCACUUUCCGGUAUCCAGACAAACACACAGAUACACUCACAGACACAUUUAUAUUCCCAGACAUACAAACACGCAUACAGAGAUGAUUUGACGACACAAACACACAGGCUCACACACACAUACAUAUUGUACUAGAUAUACACAUUCCCAGACAUACACUGCCGCAUACGGGUAAACAAUGACACAAUUAAACUAACAAAAUGCACAUUUUAGCCAUUGCAUACACCUAUUUGUGGGCUGUAAGAUGGUGCUGCGAGGUCUCGUAACAAAUAGGCUGAUCAAGGUUUCCAGCUCCCUCUCAGCAUGGCUCUGUGUGUGAAAUGGAAUGACACUAUAUUACAUCACAUCCUCGUGGAGUAGAUCUUCCAUACAUGGGGUCAGGCUGUUCCAGUCUGCUCCUUGUGGCUGCUAAAUGCAGUCUAGUUUUUGGAAGAUAUGUUUAUUUCCUCUGUUGGACCAGAGUAUGGCCUUUAAUUGAAUCCCCUGAUGGUGGCCCAGCUCUUCCCCUCCCUUUCCUUCUCUCCUUUCUGCACCAUAUCCUCUGAUUCUUCAUCUGUUUUUUUUUUUAUCUUCAUCUUUCAGUUUUUCUUAAAAGAUAAUUCAGCUAUAAACCUCGAUUACAUUCCAGCCAAUCAUGUUUAUUGUCAGUUUUUUGCUGCUAAUAAGCCAUUUAACGUUUGGAUAGAUUUAAAUUCAGCAGUUAAAGGCUUAUCUGGAGCCAUAAAAUAUCGGCUUGCAUAUCGAUUCCGAAGCCUAUAUUUCACAUUGAUUUAAUCUGGUGAUUAAAUUUCAUUCAAUGACUGCAUAGACACUGUUAAACGCAGGGCCGAUGCUACCAUUAGGCGAAUAAGGCAUUUGCCUGGGGCGCUGGCAUCUGGGAGGUUUCCCGGUGGGCUGCCCUGCUCCUGUCUGGGGCUGGUGUAGUGGGCGAGCGGCUCCUUAGCCACCCCCCAGCAAAGUCAUUCAGCUGCUGGGCUCUCUGUCUCCGCUUGCCUGCUCGGGAAGCGGGAUAUGCUGUAGCCCCAGCACCCAAGCAGAGCACUCGGCUUCCUGCAGGCAGGGGAAACCGGGAUAUGACCAGAUAGCCCAGCUGCCCCCUACCUGUGAACACCGGAAGUUCUCUGAGGGGAACAGGAAGCAGCUGGUGUACACAGUGCAUGGCUCUCCUGCUCCCCCCACCAGGAACAACAGCAGCUACCUACAGGCUGGGCCCCUCUCCUCCAUUCACAGCACUUGUGAAUGAUCCAUCUGAAGGUAAGUGGAACUGAUCAUGAGUAUGAUUGCAUGAUGGUAAACUGGUCUGUGUGUAUUGAAUUGCUGUGUUUGUGUGUGUAAAUAAAGUGUGACUAUAUGUAAAGUGGUGUGAAUUUGUGCUUGAGUGACAGUGUGUGUGUUAGUGAGAGUGUGUAAGUGGCACUGUGAAUGUCACCGACUGUGUGUGUGUAAGUGAAUGUCAGUCACAGUGUGUGUGUGUGUGUAAGUGACACUUUGUCAGUGAGAGUGUGUGUUAGUGAGUGUGUACAUGACACUUUAUGUCAGUGAGAGUGUGUGUUAGUGAGAGUGUGUGUGUAACUGACACUGUAGGUCAGUGAGAGUGUGUAUGUUAGUGAGAAUGUGUGCUAGUGUGUGACCAUGUAAAUAGAUACUUAUAUAUUAAAUUAUAUCUAUAAUAUAUAUUAGAAUUCUAUAUUAAACUGAAAAAAAUGUUAACAGUAACAUGAAUUAAAUCCCAACAUUAUUACAAAGGAAAUACCACCAAAUACAUUGAAACAGAGUGUGUGGAUUUAUGUAUUAGGCAGUAUGUGUCGAUUGAUGUGUGCAUUAGGCAGUACGUGUGUAUUGAUCUAUGCAUUAGGCAGUAUGAGUGUAUGAAUUUACAUAUUGGGUGGUGUGUGUGUGUGUGUGUGUAUUUAUGUAUUGGGCUGUGUGUGUGUGUGUGUGUGUGUGUAUUUAUGUAUUGGGCUGUGUGCGUGUGUGUGUGUGUAUUUAUGUAUUGGGCUGUGUGUGUGUGUGUGUGUAUUUAUGUAUUGGGCUGUGUGUGUGUGUGUGUGUGUGUGGAUUUAUGUAUUGGGCUGUGUGUGUGUGUAUUUAUGUAUUGGGCUGUGUGCGUAUGGUUGAUUGCAUGUAAUAGGCAGUCUUUGUGUGUGAAUGGAUGGAUGUAUUAGGCAGUGUGUAUAUAUGGAUGCAUACGGUGGAUGUGUGUGUUUUCUUCCCUAACCCUCUCUUCAUUGCAAUUCAAAAUUUAGUUAAUAAACCUGUGAGAGAAUGUAGUCGCCUUCAAGAAGGGGCGGCAAAUUGGAUUGUUGCCUAGGGUGGGAGAAUCCUUGCACCGGCCCUGGUUAAACAGGCCAAUCGAACUCAAAAGCUAAAAGCUGCAGACACUUUUUUUUACUAUUUGGCUGCAGAAAGCACUAGCAGCCAGUGGGAAAAUAUUUAUAAAAAUCCUGUGGGGGUCAAUACAAUCCCCUUAUUAGUGUAAGGGAGGUGUUUAAUCUCCCUUAUACCCCCAAACACGAUGAUGCCCCCACCACAUGCCUUUUUUGUUUAUGUACGAGUCCCCACCCAAUACAUGGAGGGAAGCAUAGUGCUUAACAGUGAUAAUGUGGGCGAUGGCAAUAGCUCCCCGGUUCCUAGUCUUUUAGUUCAGCUAGUCUUUUAGUACAGUUAGUUCAGCUAGUCUUUUAUUACUGUUUAGUGGACAUGUCCCUACACAUAGCAACACCUCCCUUGCACUAAUAUGCAGGUCAUAUUAACCCCCAUAUGCCUUUUUUAAUUUAUUUUUAAUUACUAACAGCUUUAGUCAUUAAAUAGGCUGAUAAACAUUCUUACGCAGCACAUUGUUGGUGGUUUUAUUUCAAACAGCAAACCCAUUUAUCAAAUCUGGCAGCUUGAAUUUUGGAUAACUUUCAAUUCAAUCUGAAACUGGGGGCGGGGGGAAAUCAUCCAAGAACAGUCAAUAUCGAUCAAAUGUUUUUGACUGAAAGAACUAAAGGCCAUAGUUUAUUAUAAAGUAAUAAAAAUUUUUUUAAAAAGUCCUUCAGUUCUGGCUGUUAAAUAGUAAGGCAAUAUUUAUGGAAAAUAAACAUGAAAGUAAAUACAAGCAUUUCUCUCUUUAUGAACUCCUGCCUUUAUGAACUUUUUUCUAGGUGAGCCGCCAUUUUGUUUCACUGCCAUUUUGUGUCAGCGGUCUGGGGAUCAGGACAUAGGGGCGUACUUUAAAGCACAAACAAGAAGAGAAGAAGAAUUUGUGGCCAGGAGUAGACAAGUAGAGAGAAGAUGAUCAGGAAUGCAGUCCCAGUAGAUAAAGGUAAGUCUAAAAAACGGGUUUACACUGUACUGUAGUCUUCCUGCGCUUUCACGAGCAUACCUGUAAUAUUAUUGCCCUGUGUACUAUUGAGUAGAGUUUGGACUUGAUUUGUCUGUGUGUCUGACAUUGCUGUCUGUAUGUGUGUGUAACAUUGCUGUCUGUGUGUGUGUCUGACAUUGCUGUCUGUAUGUGUGUGUAACAUUGCUGCCUGUGUGUGUGUCUGACAUUGCUCUCUGUAUGUGUGUCUGACAUUGCUCUCUGUGUGUGUGUGACAUUGCUGUCUGUGUGUGUGUCUGACAUUUCUGUGUGUGUGUGUGUGUGUGACAUUGUUGUCUGUGUGUGUGUCUGACAUUGCUGUCUGUAUGUGUGUGUAACAUUGCUGUCUGUGUGUGUGUCUGACAUUGCUCUCUGUAUGUGUGUCUGACAUUGCUCUCUGUGUGUGUGUGACAUUGCUGUCUGUGUGUGUGUCUGACAUUUCUGUGUGUGUGUGUGUGUGUGACAUUGCUGUCUGUGUGUGUGUCUGACAUUGAUGUCUGUAUGUGUGUGUAACAUUGCUGUCUGUGUGUGUGUCUGACAUUGCUCUCUGUAUGUGUGUCUGGCAUUGAUCUCUGUGUGUGUGUCUGACAUUGUUCUCUGUGUGUGUGUGACAUUGCUGUCUGUGUGUGUGUCUGACAUUGCUGUCUGUGUGUGUGUCUGACAUUGCUGUCUGUAUGUGUGUGUAACAUUGCUGUCUGUGUGUGUGUCUGACAUUGCUCUCUGUAUGUGUGUCUGACAUUGCUCUCUCUGUGUGUGUGACACUGCUGUCUGUGUGUCUGACAUUGCUGUCUGUAUGUGUGUGUAACAUUGCUGUAUGUGUGUGUGUCUGACAUUGCUGUCUGUAUGUGUGUGUAACAUUGCUCUCUGUAUGUGUGUCUGACAUUGCUCUCUGUGUGUGUGUCUGACAUUGCUCUCUGUGUGUGUGUGACAUUGCUGUCUGUGUGUGUCUGACAUUUCUGUGUGUGUGUGUGUGACAUUGCUGUCUGUGUGUGUGUCUGACAUUGCUGUCUGUAUGUGUGUGUGACAUUGCUGUCUGUGUGUGUGUCUGACAUUUCUGUGUGUAUGUGUGUGUGUGUGUGUGUGACAUUGCUGUGUGUGUGUCUGACAUUGCUGUCUGUAUGUAUGUCUGACAUUGCUGUGUGUGUGUGUGUGUGACAUUGCUGUCUG